Molecule: ribosomal RNA, 550 nt
Filed under: uncultured bacterium
Lineage: Bacteria
Description: partial 16S ribosomal RNA
Rfam family: Bacterial small subunit ribosomal RNA
Source: RNAcentral
UGGGGAAUAUUGCACAAUGGGCGCAAGCCUGAUGCAGCCAUGCCGCGUGUGUGAAGAAGGCCUUCGGGUUGUAAAGCACUUUCAGCGAGGAGGAAGGUGGUGAACUUAAUACGUUCAUCAAUUGACGUUACUCGCAGAAGAAGCACCGGCUAACUCCGUGCCAGCAGCCGCGGUAAUACGGAGGGUGCAAGCGUUAAUCGGAAUUACUGGGCGUAAAGCGCACGCAGGCGGUUUGUUAAGUCAGAUGUGAAAUCCCCGGGCUCAACCUGGGAACUGCAUUUGAAACUGGCAAGCUAGAGUCUCGUAGAGGGGGGUAGAAUUCCAGGUGUAGCGGUGAAAUGCGUAGAGAUCUGGAGGAAUACCGGUGGCGAAGGCGGCCCCCUGGACGAAGACUGACGCUCAGGUGCGAAAGCGUGAGGAGCAAACAGGAUUAGAUACCCUGGUAGUCCACGCUGUAAAACGAUGUCGAUUUUGGAGGUUGUGCCCUUGAGGCGUGGCUUCCGGAGCUAACGCGUUAAAUCGACCGCCUGGGGAGUACGGCCGCAAGGUU